This 210-nucleotide ribosomal RNA is filed under the name Triticum aestivum (bread wheat). RNAcentral describes it as "partial small subunit ribosomal RNA". Lineage: Eukaryota; Viridiplantae; Streptophyta; Magnoliopsida; Poales; Poaceae. The record is from RNAcentral.
ACUCUCUGUUUAGCCGCACCUCUGUAUUUUAUUGUUAUGAAAAAGGGAGGUGGAAAGUCAGUGCCAAAUGCAUGACAAUCCUUGAUCGAACUUAUUUAUGAUUUAGGGCUAAACCUGGUAAACAAAUAAAUAUGUGGUCUUUCUGGAAAUGUCAAACAAAAGCUUUUCCCUCACAUCUCAGUCACUUUUACUUUUUUUGUUAUUUCAUAA